This 1431-nucleotide long non-coding RNA is filed under the name Equus caballus (horse). RNAcentral's name for it is "lncRNA (ENSECAG00000053998.1)". The record is from RNAcentral. Lineage: Eukaryota; Metazoa; Chordata; Mammalia; Perissodactyla; Equidae.
GGCAGGUCUCAGGGGACUGUGGUGGGUACUCAUGGGGGCGUUAAUUUGGGGAGCAAUGGGCUCAUUUAGGAAGACCACUGGGCAGCCCCUGCUGUGGAAGCUAGAUUGGGGCAGAGAGAGAGCGUUGACGAGGAGUCCAGAAAAUUACUUUUUGCUGGUCUCCGGGAGAAGGAUGAAGGAUCUAAUCAAGAGCAGUGGCACUUCUCAUGAGAGCGAGACUGGAUCUGAAGGACAUCUAGGGAUAUCGGAGAUCAACCUGGCUUAAACAAAAAUAGAGACGUGUUUUGCAGAGCUACAGAGGUCGUAGACCGGGAAGCCACCAAGAGCCACAGCAGGCACCCUGUCUGUGCGUCUUGCUCUCUCUGGAGCCCGAGGGUCAUUCAUCUUUGCACUUCUCUGGGACUGAGCUUCGUUUUUCAAUCUCCCUCUCUGGUUCGGUUUUAUCCUUUUGACACACGGCGUCAGAUGGCUGCCCCACAGUUUCCAGCUUCCCUGCAGUGUGACUUACGAAUUAGACGCGUUCCUGGGAGGAGAACGUGAUUGGCUCAGCUCAAGUCACGUGCUCGCCACUACCCAGUCAACUGUAACCAGGAAGGUGCAGUCACGUCCAGCAAUUAACGCUGCGGUGCUCGAUCAUCCAGGGUAUCCAGGAAAGGACUCACCAUCCUCCAGAAGGGUCUGCUGUUCCCCGCCUCAGCGUUCUCUUCUGGAAGGUGGGAUGACAAUUCCUACCUACCGCGAAGAUGAAAGGAGCUAACCCGUGGAAGUUCAUUGUCAACCGUAUAGCACCACAUAUAAAUUCUUCUGUACCCUCUUCUUCUCUGGGACCUGAGGCCCAUGCUUUCUCUCUUUGCCACCCCUUGCCGAGGGAGAUAUCCUGCGGCUGGAAGAAGAGGAGGGGCUGGAUGCUGACCUUCCAGAAGCUCUAGAAGCAGAUAACAGGGUCAACAAUGAGGGCAUGAGUCGAGGAAGACCAGAAAGCCAAAGUCCGAAGGUGAUGCCAGGCUCAGGAGCCAUAGAAGUGUCUGGAUUCUGGGAACAAAGAACCAAGGAUCAAGCUCAGGGAAGUACAAGCGACUUCUGAAUGAUUAGUAUGCUGCUGAAACCAAAUCCUACUGGGGCCUUAAUCAAAGAAAUUAAGGUUCUCCCCCCAAAUCAUGUAACCUGUAAUUGAGGGGAGAAUGGAUCAAAAUCCACCCGGUCGGAGUCCAAAGCUACCACACCUCGUUGUCUCCUAGGUGUCGUUGGGAAAGGCUUUCCACUGACUCUGGAUGGCUCUUCCUGUGCAGGGAGUUCAAUUAGUGUAACUCCAGGUCCCUUUCACCCAGUUUAUUCUUGCUACCCUGGGAGAUGUAAUGACCUUAUCUUACCAAUUGGUAAAUUGAGGGAGAAUAAUGGGGCCUGCUGGUGUGGUCCCUGCUCUCUCUCGGG